CCGGCGACCGGCGCACGGGUGAGUAACACGUAUGGAACCUGCCCUAUGCAGGGGGAUAACCGGAAGAAAUUCCGACUAAUACAGCAUAACACUCCUGAGGGACAUCCCUUGGGAGUCAAAGGAGGCAACUCCGGUGACGGAUGGGCAUGCGGCGCAUUAGGUAGUUGGUAGGGUAACGGCCUACCAAGCCGACGAUGCGUAGGGGUUCUGAGAGGAAGGUCCCCCACAUUGGAACUGAGACACGGUCCAAACUCCUACGGAAGGCAGCAG
RNAcentral lists this ribosomal RNA (270 nucleotides) under uncultured bacterium. RNAcentral describes it as "partial 16S ribosomal RNA". It matches the Rfam family "Bacterial small subunit ribosomal RNA", at positions 88 to 354 of the family's 1533-position model. The record is from RNAcentral.